GAUGAACGCUGGCGGCGUGCCUAAUACAUGCAAGUCGAGCGAACGGACGAGAAGCUUGCUCCUUUGACGUUAGCGGCGGACGGGUGAGUAACACGUGGAUAACCUACCUAUAAGACUGGGAUAACUUCGGGAAACCGGAGCUAAUACCGGAUAAUAUUUUGAACCGCAUGGUUCUAAAGUGAAAGAUGGUUUUGCUGUCACUUAUAGAUGGACCCGCGCUGCAUUAGCUAGUUGGUAAGGUAACGGCUUACCAAGGCAACGAUGCAUAGCCGACCUGAGAGGGUGAUCGGCCACACUGGAACUGAGACACGGUCCAGACUCCUACGGGAGGCAGCAGUAGGGAAUCUUCCGCAAUGGGCGAAAGCCUGACGGAGCAACGCCGCGUGAGUGAUGAAGGUCUUCGGAUCGUAAAACUCUGUUAUUAGGGAAGAACAUAUGUGUAAGUAACUGUGCACGUCUUGACGGUACCUAAUCAGAAAGCCACGGCUAACUACGUG
RNAcentral lists this ribosomal RNA (497 nucleotides) under uncultured bacterium. Its description in RNAcentral is "partial 16S ribosomal RNA". It matches the Rfam family "Bacterial small subunit ribosomal RNA", at positions 28 to 507 of the family's 1533-position model. The record is from RNAcentral.